This 19-nucleotide ribosomal RNA is filed under the name Phytophthora palmivora. RNAcentral's name for it is "partial 18S ribosomal RNA". The record is from RNAcentral. RNAcentral also lists the same sequence under 8 other names. Lineage: Eukaryota; Oomycota; Peronosporomycetes; Peronosporales; Peronosporaceae.
GACUGCGGAAGGAUCAUUA